UACGUAGGUGGCAAGCGUUGUCCGGAUUUCCUGGGCGUAAAGAGCGCGCAGGCGGUCGUUCAAGUCGCGUGUGAAAGCCCCCGGCUCAACUGGGGAGGGUCACGCGAUACUGAUCGACUCGAAGGCAGGAGAGGGUAGUGGAAUUCCCGGUGUAGUGGUGAAAUGCGUAGAUAUCUGGAGGAACACCGGUGGCGAAGGCGGCAUCCUGGACCGGCAUUGACGCUGAGGCGCGAAAGCCAGGGGAGCAAACGGG
Molecule: ribosomal RNA, 253 nt
Filed under: uncultured bacterium
Lineage: Bacteria
Description: partial 16S ribosomal RNA
Rfam family: Bacterial small subunit ribosomal RNA
Source: RNAcentral